Camellia sinensis is the source of this 1214-nucleotide long non-coding RNA. RefSeq lists it as uncharacterized. NCBI's taxonomy places the organism in Eukaryota, Viridiplantae, Streptophyta, Magnoliopsida, Ericales, Theaceae. The record is from RefSeq and is a predicted model, not a curated record.
GGGGAGGGUUACUUACAGAUAGCAUGCUUGCAAUACAGUUCCAGAGCGUUGGGAGUGGCUUCCCUUGCACCACCUUGCAUUCUGCUUCCACAGACAGGUUUUUGUAUCUCACCUCAACAGUAGUUUCUGCAAUAAUCGAAGAUUAUCAUUCUCAAGGUGCUUUAUAAGCUUCUCAAUGAAGAGGUGCUGUUCAAGCGCUCCAAGCUUGGUGGGUAGUCUCUCGAUCACAGCCCACUGCAACGCAAGUUCAUCAUCCUCCUCUUGUAUUGAAUCUGAAUGACUGCUUUUGAAGCUUGAACCACGAUGGUGGUAUGGUGACUGUUGAAUGUUUCUUCCAACACUUGUUAGUUCCAUCUCCGAAAGAUAUGUUUGUUGCUGCUAAAGAGAGCUUAUCCUGAAGAACUCAUAUACUUCAUCUGUACUUGUGGUGGUGGGGGCGUUUCUAUUAGUGGCUUUGUUGUCAUCUUUACCACCUUUACUACGAGUCUGAAUCUGUGCUUCGUAGUCCUCCUGUCCUGGCCAACUGCGAUUUUCCAUGUUGUUCCGUUUCCGUAGAGUAGUCAUGGAGGAGACCAUGAAGAUUAGUCGAAGCUGUCAAUAAAUCGCCAUAAACAAGUUAUGACUAAUGAAAUGUGAAUGUGGACACAGACUGAAGAUUGGGAGGGAGUUAUAAUUGAUUUUGAUUGAUAUACACGUGUCAUCAAAAGCAUAAAGGGACAAGACAUUAUGGGAUAUCUCUAUAAUUGCUUUCAAUCUCCCAAGGAGUAAUAAUUUCUGCAUGCUGAUAGGAGCAUGACAAGCCAUUUGUGGAAAUGGGUGGGUAUUUGAAAGCCACUUGUAAGGCAAAGUAGAGAUGGACUUCCCAUGAAAUAAGCAACAUGAAGAAAGUGGAGAUCGACUGCUUAUGAAAUAAGCAACCUGAUGGGGUUAGUUUCUCUGCUCGUGUUGAUGUUCCCUCUAUUUUAUAGUUCUCUAGGACAUGUCUCUUGAAAACAUGUAUAUUUUAUUAUUUUAUUUUAUGAUUUAUUAAUUUUUUAAAAAAGAGAAAAGUUAGGGAUCAUGAAAAAAUUUUCAUGAAAUGAUCAUGAAAUAUUUAUGACUCUUAGAUUAUCUUGAUUAAUGUGUGUUGCUUUAUUUUAAGUGUAAUCCAAUGGUCAUAAAUCUUUCAUGAUCAUUUUCAUGAAAGUUUUUUCAUGAUACCUAGCAUUGCUCUU